Molecule: ribosomal RNA, 466 nt
Filed under: uncultured bacterium
Lineage: Bacteria
Description: partial 16S ribosomal RNA
Rfam family: Bacterial small subunit ribosomal RNA
Source: RNAcentral
GACGAACGCUGGCGGCGUGCUUAACACAUGCAAGUCGAACGGAAAGGCCCUGCUUGCCGGGUACUCGAGUGGCGAACGGGUGAGUAACACGUGGGUGAUCUGCCCUGCACUUCGGGAUAAGCUUGGGAAACUGGGUCUAAUACCGGAUAGGAACCAUCUUUAGUGUGGUGGUUGGAAAGUUUUUUCGGUGUAGGAUGAGCUCGCGGCCUAUCAGCUUGUUGGUGGGGUAAUGGCCUACCAAGGCGGCGACGGGUAGCCGGCCUGAGAGGGUGUACGGCCACAGUGGGACUGAGAUACGGCCCAGACUCCUACGGGAGGCAGCAGUGGGGAAUAUUGCACAAUGGGCGCAAGCCUGAUGCAGCGACGCCGCGUGGGGGAUGAAGGCCUUCGGGUUGUAAACUCCUUUCGCUAGGGACGAAGCGUUGUUGUGACGGUACCUAGAGAAGAAGCACCGGCUAACUACGUG